UCCCACACCCCAAACCCCUCAUCCCCAGUUCUGUUGGGUCGCGGGCAUCAACAAUUUUCUUUAACUGGGUUGCCAGAAAAAUAGUUUGAAAGCCACUGCUCUAUAUCUUUUCUGUCAAAGUGCUCAGGAGGAA
Molecule: long non-coding RNA, 133 nt
Organism: Dermochelys coriacea (leatherback sea turtle)
Lineage: Eukaryota; Metazoa; Chordata; Testudines; Dermochelyidae
Exons: 4
Source: RefSeq, a predicted model, not a curated record